This 253-nucleotide ribosomal RNA is filed under the name uncultured bacterium. RNAcentral describes it as "partial 16S ribosomal RNA". It matches the Rfam family "Bacterial small subunit ribosomal RNA", at positions 524 to 776 of the family's 1533-position model. The record is from RNAcentral.
UACGUAGGGGGCAAGCGUUGUCCGGAUUUAUUGGGCGUAAAGAGCUUGUAGGCGGCUUUACAGGUCCGUUGUGAAAACUCGAGGCUCAACCUCGAGACGCCGGUGGAAACCGUAAAGCUAGAGUCCGGAAGAGGAGAGUGGAAUUCCUGGUGUAGCGGUGAAAUGCGCAGAUAUCAGGAAGAACACCCGUGGCGAAGGCGGCUCUCUGGGACGGUACUGACGCUGAGACGCGAAAGCGUGGGGAGCGAACAGG